CAUCAACCACCAAUUCCCUGUACUCUCCUAUUUUUCACAUUUUAAUCUGUGCAAUUAUCUUUGUGUUAUUCUCUCUCCUAGACUCUGUUUAUGGAAGCAGAAGCUGUACCUUUUAUCUCUUUGUAUUCAAAGCCUUUAGCUCUAGUGUCCAGCACUUAAUAUGCCGGAAAACAGGCAUUAUUUUGAGAGUCUCCUAUCACGCAUCCACUGUACCAGCAUGAAUUAUUUUAUUUCAGUAUCUUGAAAUCCCAUCGAUUUGCUUUAGCCCCAACAUGCAAAGGGAGAAUUUGAGCAAAAAGACUUCAAGGCAUCUUGCAGAGGUGGUAGGCCUCUAUAUAAGACUUUAAACUCCUACAGAUGUGGAUUUGGAUCAGCAUGAUCUGAUUAUUCUGGCUAUUGACUCCUCAUCGGUCUACAUGGUGGCCAUACAUUCUGGAUAUAGUCCACAUGGCGUAGUGGGCAAGUAUUUUCAGCGACGGUACUGUGUUUAUGGAGGCCGCUGCAGAUGUGAACACAGCAAGCCACUGAAACGAACAAGCAACUGCUACAGAUCUAACUACAAAAUCAUCCCUUGCUGCUUCCUUAAGUCUCUCAUUCAUAGUUGGACCGCUUGUGGAAAUGAAUACAGGCGAAGCUGAGUCAGACUCAAACUUUGCAACUGUAGGAGUGGGUUCAGAGGACUGGGUAGAUGCUGUUGAGUUUGUUCCUGGGCAACUCUACUGCAGCGUACACUGCCCCUUUCUGCAGUGACCAAGGGAGAAUCAGAGAAAGAGCAAACAGCUGUGAUAACAAGCUGCUUUGCCCCUAGGCUGCAGUGGGAGAGAUGGAAAUGGGUAGAACUGUGUGUAUCUCCACAGAGAGUCAUGUGAUCAUGUAAGCUGCAGGUCCUACCUCCAAUGGAUGCUGCCCAGAGACCACAGCAUAUAAAAAUCUUGUCCUGAGGCCCAUGAGAAGGAAACGGAGCUCUCAUUUGCUGUGCAGUGCAGCAAGGAUACGAUGUGUGGGAUCUGCAUGGAGGUGGUCUGUGAGAAAGCCAGCCCCAGUGAGCGUGGCUUUGGGAUCCUCUCCAGCUGCAGCCACGCCUACUGUCUCAAGUAUAUUCACAAGUGGAAGGGCACUAAGCUAUUUGAGAGCAAGAUCAUAGUGUCCUACCCAGAAUGCCGGAUCACAUCUAACUUUGUCAUUCCCAGUGAGUACCAGGCGGGAGAAAGAAGAGAAGCAGAAACUCAUCCAGAAAGUCAAGGAGGCAAUGAGCAGCCAGGCGUGCAGGGAUUUUGAUGAAGGACAGGGGAGCUGCCCAUCUUGGGGGAUGUGUUUUUACAAGCAGGUAUUCCCUGAUGGCCAUAGAAAGGAUACACAGAGACAGGCAAACAGAUACUGGGCCCAGUGAAGGAACCACUUCUCGGAGCUCAUUGAGGAAAGAGAGAACAAUGACCCCUUUGACAACAAUGAAGAAGAGGUUGUCACCUUUGAGCUGGGUGAGAUGUUGCUUAUGCUUUUGGCAGAUGGGGACGAUGAACUGACAGACUUUGAAAAUGAGUGGGACUUGUUCCAUGAUGAUCUGGAAGAUUUUUAUGACUUGGCUCAGUAGCCACCUUGCGUGGCAUGUGAACUGGCCUGCUGACCUCAGACAGCAGCAGUCCCCUGUGGUGGUGUGACAGUGCCCAUGUUUCUCUCCUAGGCAGGCCUAUCAACUCCAGGUGCUGUCUUAAUAAUUUUUACCUAGGGCCUGUCUUCUCAAUCUGUGACCUUUCCCCAAGGAGUG
Homo sapiens (human) is the source of this 1765-nucleotide long non-coding RNA. Lineage: Eukaryota; Metazoa; Chordata; Mammalia; Primates; Hominidae. The record is from Ensembl.